CCUACGGGAGGCCGCAGUGAGGAAUAUUGGUCAAUGGGCGCGAGCCUGAACCAGCCAAGUAGCGUGAAGGAUGACUGCCCUACGGGUUGUAAACUUCUUUUAUAAAGGAAUAAAGUGAGGCACGUGUGCCUUUUUGUAUGUACUUUAUGAAUAAGGAUCGGCUAACUCCGUGCCAGCAGCCGCGGUAAUACGGCGGAUCCGAGCGUUAUCCGGAUUUAUUGGGUUUAAAGGGAGAGUAGAUGGGUUGUUAAGUCAGUGGUGAAAGUUUGUUGCUCAACCAUAAAAUUGCCGUUGAAACUGGUUGACCUGAGUAUAUUUGAGGUAGGCGGAAUGCGUGGUGUAGCGGUGAAAUGCAUAGAUCUCACGCAGAACUCCGAUUGCGAAGGCAGCUUACUAAACUAUAACUGACACUGAAGCACGAAAGCGUGGGGAUCAAACAGGAUUAGAUACCCUAGUAGUC
RNAcentral lists this ribosomal RNA (460 nucleotides) under uncultured bacterium. Its description in RNAcentral is "partial 16S ribosomal RNA". It matches the Rfam family "Bacterial small subunit ribosomal RNA", at positions 338 to 795 of the family's 1533-position model. The record is from RNAcentral.